This 247-nucleotide ribosomal RNA is filed under the name uncultured bacterium. RNAcentral describes it as "partial 16S ribosomal RNA". It matches the Rfam family "Bacterial small subunit ribosomal RNA", at positions 523 to 769 of the family's 1533-position model. The record is from RNAcentral.
AAACGUAGGAGGCGAGCGUUAUCCGGAUUCACUGGGUGUAAAGCGCAUGCAGGCGGUUCGCUAAGUUGGGUGUGAAAGCUCCUGGCUCAACUGGGAGAGGUCGCUCAAGACUGACGAACUAGAGGACGGUAAGGGGAAGCGGAAUUCCGGGUGUAGUGGUGAAAUGCGUAGAUAUCCGGAGGAACACCAGUGGCGAAAGCGGCUUCCUGGCCCAUUUCUGACGCUCAGACGCGAAAGCUAGGGUAGC